CACUGUGAAACUAAUAAGCAUUAACCUUUUAAGUUGAAGAUUGAAAGUUUUAACCUUUCCACAGUGA
RNAcentral lists this transfer RNA (67 nucleotides) under Otolemur garnettii (small-eared galago). It matches the Rfam family "tRNA". From Rfam's summary of the family: Transfer RNA (tRNA) molecules are approximately 80 nucleotides in length. Their secondary structure includes four short double-helical elements and three loops (D, anti-codon, and T loops). The record is from Rfam by way of RNAcentral. Lineage: Eukaryota; Metazoa; Chordata; Mammalia; Primates; Galagidae.